RNAcentral lists this ribosomal RNA (450 nucleotides) under uncultured bacterium. Its description in RNAcentral is "partial 16S ribosomal RNA". It matches the Rfam family "Bacterial small subunit ribosomal RNA", at positions 354 to 796 of the family's 1533-position model. The record is from RNAcentral.
GUGGGGAAUAUUGGACAAUGGGCGAAAGCCUGAUCCAGCCAUGCCGCGUGUGUGAAGAAGGUCUUCGGAUUGUAAAGCACUUUAAGUUGGGAGGAAGGGCAGUAAGUUAAUACCUUGCUGUUUUGACGUUACCGACAGAAUAAGCACCGGCUAACUUCGUGCCAGCAGCCGCGGUAAUACGAAGGGUGCAAGCGUUAAUCGGAAUUACUGGGCGUAAAGCGCGCGUAGGUGGUUUUGUAAGUUGGAGGUGAAAUCCCCGGGCUCAACCUGGGAACUGGCUCCAAAACUGCAUGACUAGAGUACGGGAGAGGGUAGUGGAAUUGCCUGUGUAGCGGUGAAAUGCGUAGAUAUAGGAAGGAACACCAGUGGCGGAGGCGACUACCUGGACUGAUACUGACACUGAGGUGCGAAAGCGUGGGGAGCAAACAGGAUUAGAAACCCCGGUAGUCC